GAUGAAGAACGUAGCGAAAUGCGAUAAGUAAUGUGAAUUGCAGAAUUCAGUGAAUCAUCGAAUCUUUGAACGCACCUUGCGCCCUCUGGUAUUCCGGAGGGCAUGCCUGUUUGAGUGUCAUGAACACCUCACCCCCUCGGGUUUCCGAUCGGGUGGAUUUGGGUGCUGCCAGUUACAUGGCUCGCCUUAAACGCAUUAGCGGUUGUUGACGUAAUAAGUUUCGUCUUGUCGACCGCUCCUAAUCUCCCUUAGGGAUGUCUUUUAGACACUUCAUGAUCUGACCUCAAAUCAGGUAGGACUACCCGCUGAACUUAAGCAUAUCAAUAAGCGGAGGA
RNAcentral lists this unclassified non-coding RNA (335 nucleotides) under soil metagenome. RNAcentral's name for it is "partial contains 5.8S ribosomal RNA, internal transcribed spacer 2, and large subunit ribosomal RNA". The stretch from base 1 to 120 matches the Rfam family "5.8S ribosomal RNA", at positions 35 to 154 of the family's 154-position model. The record is from RNAcentral.